GACGAACGCUGGCGGCGUGCUUAACACAUGCAAGUCGAACGGAAAGGCCCCUUCGGGGGUACUCGAGUGGCGAACGGGUGAGUAACACGUGAGUAACCUGCCCUUGACUUCGGGAUAACUUCAGGAAACUGGGGCUAAUACCGGAUAGGAAUCCUUGCUGCAUGGUGGGGGUUGGAAAGCUUCGGCGGUUUUGGAUGGACUCGCGGCUUAUCAGCUUGUUGGUGGGGUAGUGGCUUACCAAGGCCUUGACGGGUAGCCGGCCUGAGAGGGCGACCGGCCACAUUGGGACUGAGAUACGGCCCAGACUCCUACGGGAGGCAGCAGGGGGGAAGAUUGCACAAUGGGCGGAAGCCUGAUGCAGCAACGCCGCGUGCGGGAUGACGGCCUUCGGGUUGUAAACCGCUUUCAGCAGGGGCGAAGCUUGUGGUGACGGUGCCUGCAGAAGACGCACCGGCUAACUACGUG
Molecule: ribosomal RNA, 465 nt
Filed under: uncultured bacterium
Lineage: Bacteria
Description: partial 16S ribosomal RNA
Rfam family: Bacterial small subunit ribosomal RNA
Source: RNAcentral